Molecule: transfer RNA, 73 nt
Filed under: Micromonospora sp. WMMD812
Lineage: Bacteria; Bacillati; Actinomycetota; Actinomycetes; Micromonosporales; Micromonosporaceae
Description: tRNA-Ala
Rfam family: tRNA
About the family: Transfer RNA (tRNA) molecules are approximately 80 nucleotides in length. Their secondary structure includes four short double-helical elements and three loops (D, anti-codon, and T loops).
Source: RNAcentral
GGGCUUGUGGCGCAGUUGGUAGCGCGCCUGCAUGGCAUGCAGGAGGCCGCGGGUUCGAAUCCCGCCAGGUCCA